This 473-nucleotide long non-coding RNA is filed under the name Papio anubis (olive baboon). RNAcentral describes it as "lncRNA (ENSPANG00000042123.1)". The record is from RNAcentral. Lineage: Eukaryota; Metazoa; Chordata; Mammalia; Primates; Cercopithecidae.
GGCACAACUAGUCGAUAUUUCCUAGCCUGCUUUUCAGUUAAAUGAGGCGCACAACUGAGCUCUCACCAAUGGAAUCCAGGAGCUCACAGGUGACACAGAGAGACAGAGAGAUUAAAAUGCAAAAGGAUGCAAUUAUGAUGGGAGUAAAGAGAAAUUUGAAGAUGUACAUUUUGAAGACAGAGAAAAUUGCCACAAGCCAAAAAAUAAGGACCGCACAUACAAACUGAAAAAGGCAAGGAAACAAAUUUUCUCCUCAGAACCUCCCGGAGGAACCAGCCCUGACAACACUUCGACUUUAGCUCACUGUGACUACUUAUGGACUUCUGACCACCAGAACUGAUAAAGAGUAAACUUAUACUGUUAAAGAAGAUACAUUUGUGGUAAUUUGUUAUAGUAACAAUAAGAAAUGUGUGUGUGUAUCUAUAGGAAUACUAUUUAUGUAAAAACACAUUUAUAUGAUGCUUAUUAUAGCC